RNAcentral lists this transfer RNA (21 nucleotides) under Tiliqua rugosa (stump-tailed skink). Its description in RNAcentral is "partial tRNA-Ser". The record is from RNAcentral. Lineage: Eukaryota; Metazoa; Chordata; Lepidosauria; Squamata; Scincidae.
CUCUGCGUCCUGGGAUUAAAC